AUUGAACGCUGGCGGCAGGCCUAACACAUGCAAGUCGAGCGGUAGCACAAGGAGCUUGCUCCUGGGUGACGAGCGGCGUACGGGUGAGUAAUGUCUGGGAAACUGCCCGAUGGAGGGGGAUAACUACUGGAAACGGUAGCUAAUACCGCAUAACGUCUUCGGACCAAAGUGGGGGACCUUCGGGCCUCACACCAUCGGAUGUGCCCAGAUGGGAUUAGCUAGUAGGUGAGGUAAUGGCUCACCUAGGCGACGAUCCCUAGCUGGUCUGAGAGGGUGACCAGCCACGCUGGAACUGAGACACGGUCCAGACUCCUACGGGAGGCAGCAGUGGGGAAUAUUGCACAAUGGGCGCAAGCCUGAUGCAGCCAUGCCGCGUGCGUGAAGAAGGCCUUCGGGUUGUAAAGCACUUUCAGCGAGGAGGAAGGGUUCGGUGUUAAUAGCACCGUUCAUUGACGUUACUCGCAGAAGAAGCACCGGCUAACUCCGUGCCAGCAGCCGCCGUAA
This 504-nucleotide ribosomal RNA is filed under the name uncultured bacterium. Its description in RNAcentral is "partial 16S ribosomal RNA". It matches the Rfam family "Bacterial small subunit ribosomal RNA", at positions 30 to 523 of the family's 1533-position model. The record is from RNAcentral.